This 25608-nucleotide long non-coding RNA is filed under the name Nicotiana tabacum (common tobacco). RNAcentral's name for it is "long non-coding RNA (NTAB_LNC011619)". The record is from RNAcentral. Lineage: Eukaryota; Viridiplantae; Streptophyta; Magnoliopsida; Solanales; Solanaceae.
CAAAACCCAGUGUCACAAAUGCAUGAGCAUCAACUAGGAAGUAAAAUAAAAUACAGCAUCUGUCCGGAAUACAAAUUAGACAGGAAAAAUAUAUAAGUAACUCCGAAGGAGACUCUCCUGGUUGCGGAUCAUAAUAGGGGAUGCAUCUCACCUAAUUCCCCGCAAUAACCGUGUCUCUGUGCUCACAAGGCCACUAGACAUAUAUGUACCUGCAAAGAAAUGUGCAGCAAGUAUAGUAUGAGUACGUAAAUCAACGCUUACCCUGUAAGUAUCUUGUCUAACCUAGAAGAAGUAGUGACGAGGGGUCGACUCCGACACUUACUAUUGGCUAACAAUAAAAUACCGAUAUUAUACUUAAGCAUGGAUUGUAUGAAACAAUUGUAAACGCAUUAACAAGAAGUGAGUGGACAAUUCAUUUAUUAAUAGAAAAUUUUCCAAAUUUAUUCUCGUCAUCUAACAUUUUGUAUCUCAGUCCAAUGAAGCAAUAUCAAUUNUUAUAAUUCCAAAGUAUUUAUCAUGCGCAAAUCAUGCCAANNNNNNNNNNNNNNNNNNNNNNNNNGAUAUAUCUAUCUGCUGCCGGGGCGUUCAUCCCGCUCCACAAAAGAGUAAAUACAUUUACAACAAUCAAUUCAAGAUUUAUUAAGGGGCAAUUAUUCAAGGGAAUACCAAAUUCUCAUUAACGGUCAAGAAAAUGAAGUUUAACCUUUUACAAUCAAGUUUUAAUAUGAUUUAAGCAAUUAAAUUAACAAGUAGGGUGCAAACAUCGCAAGUAUAACAUGAUUUGAGUCCUAGACUACCCGAACAUAAGCAUAAUUGUACUACGUAAGGACUCUCGUCACGUCGUGCGUACGUAGACCCCACAAAUAGAAGCACAUAUUAUAUCAAUUUACCUAUGGGGUUAAUUCCCUCUUACAAGGUUAGAAAAGAGACUUACCUCGCUCCGAUAUUCCAUAACCGGCUCCAAAGCCUUUCCAACAACUCAAACCGAUGCCUAUCGCUCCAAAACUAGUCAAUAAAUGUGCAAAUCCAUAAAUAUAUACUCUAAUACUCCUUAUAAUUCAAUUUACAACAAUUUCCAACUCCGCUCGAAAAGCCGAUAAAAAUCACCCUCAGGCCCACGAUGCCCGGAUUCCGAAACUUUUCGGAGAUAGUCGCUACCCAUAACAGUACGAACUCAAAUAUAUAAUUUAUUCUUAAUUUCAUGUCCAAUUUCGUGGUCAAAUUCCAAAAAUACCAAAUUCUAGGUUUUCUACCAAAAAUCCCAUUUCUACAAAUUUCCAUGCUUAAAUCUGUAUAAAAACCAUGUAUUUAACUUACAAUAGGUCGGAAUAACUUACCUUGACAUAGAUGAUGAAAACCCCCACUUGAAGCUCUCCAAAUAUCGCCCAACCAAGAGAGAAUGGAAGACAAUGGGCCAAAUCCCCGUUUUAAAGAAACCUCACUGCCUAGCACGAAUUCCUGUUUUGCGGUGCGAAGGUCGCUUUUGCGACAGCCGCUUCUGCAGCUCCAUGUCUCGUACCUAUGAGAAACCAAGCCAAGGUCGCUGGCCGCUUCUGCCUCCCUCAUGCGCAUCUGCCGCUCGUCGUGCACAUGUGUGGUCCCGCUUUUGCCGAACUUGACCGCAUCUGCGGUCCCAGCCUUCCCCGGCCAAUUUUGCUUCUGCACCCCCUCUUGGCCGCUUCUGCGGCUCCGCACCUGCGGCCAAAACCUCGCAGGUGCGGUUACACCAGAUACCAUCGGCUUCAUCAUUCCUUUAGUCGAAAAGUUGAUCGGUUAACAAUCUGAAAUCCACCCGAGAGCCUCGGGACCUAAACCAAAUAUACCAACAUGACACGAACUUGCUCGAGGCAUCAAAUCACAUCAAACAAUGCCAAAACCAUGAAUCACAUCCCAAUUCAAGCUUAAUGAACUUUAGAACUUCAAACUUCUACAUUCGAUGCCGAAACCUAUCAAAUUAUGUUCGAUUGUCCUCAAAUUUUGCACACAAGUCAUAAUUGACAUUGUGGACCUACUCCAACUUCCGAAAUCGAUAUCUGACCCAGAUAUCAAAAAGUCCAUUCCCGGUCAAACUUUCCCAAAAACCUUUAAAUUCCCAACUUUCGCCAAAUGACCCCAAAAUGGCCUACGGACCUCCAAAUCAACUACCGGACGAGCUCCUAAGUCCAGAAUCAUCAUACAGAGCUAUUUCCAGACACAGAAUCCCAAACAGACAUCGAUAAAAUUGAAAUACACUUUGACCCAAAUUUAUGAAAUUCUUCCAAAUGCCAACUUUCCACAAUAGGCGCUGAACCGCUCCCAGGUCAUCCAAAACUCGAUCCGGACAUACACCCAUAUAAAAAAUCAUCAUACGAACCUGUUGGAACCUUCAAAUCCUGAUUCUGAGGUUGUUUACUCAAAAAUCAACCCUUAGCCAACUCCUCCAACUUAAAGUUUCUGAAAUUAGAAUUUUCUCUCCAAAUCAACUCCAAAUUUCCCGAAUUUCAAUUCCGACCACACUUACAAGUCAUAAUACCUGAAGUGAAGCUACUCAUGGCCUCAAACCACCGAAUGACGCUCUAGAUCUCGAAAUGACUGGUCGGGUCGUUACAUUCUCUCCCACUUAAACAUACGUUCGUCCUCGAACGUGCUAAGAACUGCUCUAGCGUUGUCCGAAAUCACUGUUUAAUACCUCAUGCACCUAACCGUGCUACCACAACCCAGUUGGGCACAUUAGCUCGAGCCAGUACAAAAUUCCUCCCUUUUAUUUAGUCAAAUAAGCCUUAGAGCCAAAUUCCAACAUCCAAAAUUCUCCACUAGGUAUGUUUCCAACAUACGAACACCGCAUCAAUCACUACACGAUGCACCAAUACAUGAUUGCAUACCUUUGCUGAAUUCACACCAUGCACCCUAUAAUUCACAUGACCAUAUAACAUCCUCCGAUAUUAAUAGCCGAAAUUCCACGAAUCCGAUGCACACAAGACACCUCAUGACACAUAUAACUCUUGUUCCAACUCUUGCAAUGCUGCCAUGACGGAAAAGAGGUGUAAAAAUUCAUAACCAACUGUCGAGUCAACAAAUCAUUGAGUUUCUCCUCUUGACAAGAACCAUUACCUCAUUCUGAACCAAAUAACGAUAUUUGCUCUUUAAUAUGCUUCAUAUAAAUCUGAUCACACUGAUCCUAGGUCCAAUAAUCUUGUCUUACCCAAUACAAGCUGCUCAGGUAAUAAGCCACCUCAGACACUGCCAAAAGUCUCAUAUGAUGCCACAAUGUGCUAACAAGCUACAAACUCGAAUGUGAUACAUAAGGAAAAAUGAUCUCUGGAAAGAACUACUCAACCCACGUAACUAUUUAAACAAUUGAAAAGAUGUCAUGAACCUUCCUCAGAAAAUGAGGGACAAAACACACGAGAAUAGAUAUAGGGAACUGUACUCCACAUCCCACGUUUGCGGUGUGCAACCCAAUCCACACAUGACAUAGUUGCGGCGUGCAACGUGAUCCAACCAUGAUACCCAUGGUGGCGUGCCACCCGAUCCAACCAUGAUACCCGUGGCGGCGUGCCACCCAAUCCAAACAACAUACCCGUGGAGGCGUGCCACCCGAUCCACACAUAAUAAUCUAAAGAAACCACACAUCGAUUCGUAAUGCUUAUACUCACGAAAUGCCCGAAUAUAACCCUUAAGCACGCCAAGUGCAUAAUACAAAUCCUGGGGAGAGGGUAGCGUCAUACGCUAAAAACGCAAGCGCAACUAAAGUAUGAUAUAUGAUCUGCAUCUCGAGAGCCAUCCGGCUCACAUAACACCAUCGCUACGCGGACCUCAACACAUUGUACAAACAACCAAGCCGUCUCACAACCCACAUGGCACAAUAGAGUAUUACAUGAAAUAGUUGGCGAUGAAAUUAACACCCCACGCCCGAAUACUCUUCCAUAAGGAAUGUUAUGCUGAAUGAACACACCCAGGCUGGUGUAGAGUACACAUCCACAUUUGGACCCAUCAACGAACCUCAAACCGAUUCUGAUCAUACCAUGCUUGGGCAAAUAACCUCUCAAGGAUCCAUAAUGACCCUUUUCCCCAUGACAUGCAAGAACAACCGUCGAAUCCGGAACAAACUUCCACAAUUCACAACCAACUAAAUAGAGCGCCUUUUCAGGACUAAACUCUCACAUUAGCGAUAGUACCAAAAUCUAAAUACUUGAUUUCAAUCUUUAAUCAAUCAAGUGACUACAUGUCACACUUACACAAUCUCCCCGUGGGAUACGCUUCCACGACCUUCCGCACCAGGUAACAAAUCUACACAUCCAUACCGCCGGCCACACUAAUGCUGUAAAGAAAAUCAAGAAUCCGCAAAUCAGUACACAAAGCCUCUUACACAGGACACCGAUCUCAGGUGAUGCUAAAGACAAUACCUACUGAUUCUAACCAUCUGAAUACUUUCCUGCUCAUCCGAGCUCAUGACAUUCUUGUCAACACCGAACCGCAACCUUGAUCCUCAACUUCCGAUUGCCAUGCCGCUCACUGCACCUAACAUGCCAAUACGUGGGAGUAAAUGAAUUCCAUAAUAACCCCUGAUCCACUAAUAGAGUAAACACUCCGUCAUAUAGCAACCUUUCACUUAACUUAUUUCAGGAGAACCAUUGCAACACGCAACCAAAUUCUCAUAACCGCAGAAAAUACAACCCCAAGUAGUGGUCUAAACCACCAUGACUCUUCUGGGAUCCAUCUACACAUAACUGGCCAUAAUAAAUCGAAUGCCUCCAAGUAAAAUCAAUUAUGGUGGUCGUCAAGCCUCGCACGUACCGCCACAACCACCUGUAAGACUUAACACGUUGAAGGAACUGAUCAUUGCCACUAUCAUGCUGAUUCAACCAUUGCUAACCGAUCCGACUUCUUCUAAUUUACUACGGACUUGCCUUAGGAAUAAUAAUAGCUCCAUUCAAAAAUGACGAACCUAAUCCGCACUUAUCCAGAAGGACCCUAUUUCACGAGAUCACAUUGUCUCAAAACCCACAAACCAUCUCAUACCAUCCUUGUGCACACAUUCGCAUCUUCAACUGGUACACCCAUUAUGAUAUUUCCUUUAUGAAUUUCAAGUUAUUUUCUCCCAUUCCUCCAAGGCUACACCGUAGAUCGAUGAUAGCAUAGAACACUCUAAGUCUCUUUCAUAAUCCACUACAUAGGCUCGAUACUUGACCAUACCACAGACUCGAAGUCCUUAGCCACCGCACUUUAAAUUUUUGAAUCCACUAGGAUCGUUGUUGAGAGUCACCCACUCUGACUUGUUCCCAAAUACAUCACAUCUACACGAAGCAUAAAUCCUGAUCCUCCCAAAUCCUGAACAUGAAUCGAUAAGGCCAAUUAUAGCACACAUUCCUCAAAUCCUUUGCUCAAAUCACCACGGAUGUUAUCUUUCCUUAGUCGUAAUAACCCACCAAUAUGUCGAUAACCAGAAACCUCACAUGUAGACGACCAUGCAAUCCAAUCGUAGGCGGUGGGGCUCUCCCACUUAGCUUGAAGCUACAAUUACAUAACCGUGGAACCUACAAAGAUUCCUUCUUCCUCAGUGACAUGACCUCGCGCAAUCGACCCGCCAAAUUCCUCAAAAUCUUCCUGUUAACCAUUUCAUGAAUGCUCUGAAUCACUAGCCACAUUCACAUGUUCGACCUCUUACCGGGUAGCCAGUAGAAUUCUUCGUAGAAGCUUCAUCAACACCACACAAUCAUUAACCUGCUCACCUGAGAUAACCCACCUGUGGAAAUUCCAUGCCGACAUCUUCCACCAACGUUGCACCGAGUACAAUUACCACGAAACCAAUGAAUUGUCCUGAGCCCGUGCUCAUUCACCAGCUGUACAAGUCCGUUCACUCCUCAUGGACAUCAGCUAAAGGUGCAACGAUACAUUCCAAUCGAAAGUCAUGUUGCCUCCCUCUUUAUAUUAAGCAACUCUCUCCUGUCGUAUCUAAUCUUCCUCAGUGUAGUAGCCAAUAUUCCAAAUUAGUCUGUAAACCUAGUCACUGUCCACCAUGAGUCUCAAAUCACUCUAAACUUUCCUUAAGGCGGGUAGCUCUCCUACCACAAAACCCAUAUGAUACUCUGCCACUCUCCCACUUUGGUCAAACCCUCUCCUUUAAGCAACUACUCGACUUCUCUUUCCUUACACUUGGCCUUCUAGGAAUUUAACCACCGCAAGAAACCUCUCACCUGCCCUUCCUCAUCCUUCGCUGCCCAGUUGUUGCCUUAAAUCAAAAUUUAUCUCUGUAGCACCUGAACCAACUGAUCGCCGCCAAUUCUAAACCUCCGCGAAGUUCAUCUUCCUUGAGCCAUCAAUAUUAGGAUCACCGAUUCGAUUCUGAACCACAGCACACUACAACCUCUGACAGCCACUUCCCCGGCACCAUUCACAAUACUAUGCCCCAAAGGCAAUUUUUAAGAAGGCCAUAACUCUAGCGAGCUUAACACAUUCAAUUAAGGACGACGACACCACAUCAUAGAUAAAGAUUCCACCACGCUCGAAAAUACCAAGUCUCGUUACUCCAUCAACCCAAACCUGAACAUUCUUAGUCCGAUUGCCUUUCCUCCGCUGGAAAUAAAACACUGAACCUCUAAAUCAUGCAUUGAUAAAAACCUCAUUUCGAAUCAUUCACUGCCCUGAAACGUAGACAAGUAUCCUACCAUUAUAUCAAUACUAUGCUACAACAACUCAUAGACAUCGUAGUAACCCGUGCACAGUCUCGAAACCAUAGAAAAUAUAGAUACUAAGUUGGAACAAAAGAACAUCCUUCCGCAAGGCGACGACAUUAGCCCAGUCGAUUAUGCAGGGAGAAAUAUCCUGCACUACAUUUGUAGUGCCAUUAAAAUUCCUCGAUUCCCAAUUUAUAAAAAGCGCUUCACAUCGCAUAAGAUUGAAUAUGAAAGAAACAAAGGCAUAAGCCUCAAACAAAUGAAAUCGUACGAUGAGGAAUCAAGAAAGGGAAGUGCUCCUAACAACCCUGUAGCCUCUCGAAGAUAAGUACAGACGUCUCCGUACCGAUCCGCAAGACUCUACUAGAGUUGCUCAUGACUCGUGAGACCUAAAUGAACCUAACGCUCUGAUACCAAGUUGUCACGACCCAAAUUCUAUUAGAGAUCGUGAUGGCGCCUAACACUGCUGUCAGGCCAACCAACAAUAAUUGAUUAACUUAAUUACUCAUUUUAGUAUUUUUGCAAUCAUAAUUACCUUCAAUUAAAUAGUAAGAAAUAGACUUUACAAAGUAAAUGAUAGUAUUUUCACAACUUAUAAUACUGAACAACCCAUAAGUACACCCCCAAAACCCGAUGUCACAAGUGCAUGAGCAUCAACUAGGAAGUAAAAUAAAAUAUAGCAUCUAUCCGGAAUACAAAUUAGACAGGAAAAAUAUAUAAGUAACUCUGAAGGAGACUCUGCUGGUUGCGGAUCAUAACAGGCGAUGCAGCUCACCUAAGUCCCCCCAAUAACCGCGCCUCUGCGCUCACAAGGCCACUAGAUAUAUAUGUACCUGCACAAAAAUGUGCAGCAAGUGUAGUAUGAGUAUGUAAAUCAACGCGUACCUAGUAAUUAUCUUGUCUAACCUCGAAGAAGUAGUGAUGAGGGGUUGACUCCGACACUUACUAUAGGCUAACAAUAAAAUAUCGAUAUUAUACUUAAGCACGGAUUGUAAGAAAUAGCUGUAAACACAAUAACAAGAAGUGAGUGAACAAUUCUUUUAUUAAUAGAAAAUUUUCCAAAUUUAUUCUCGUCAUCUAACAUUUUGUAUCUCAGGCCAAUGAAGCAAUAUCAAUUAUUAUUAAUUCCAAAGAUUAAUCAUGCGCAAAUCAUGUCGAGGUCAUACGACCCGAUCUAACAUAAAUAUUUAAAAUGUGCACUGCCAAGGGUCGAACGACGCGAACCAUAGAUGCAUCUAUUUGCUACCGAGGCGUUUGGCCCUCUCCACAAAAGAGUAAAUAUAUUUACAACAACCAAUUCAAGAUUUAUUAAGGGGCAAUUAGUCAAGGGAAUACCAAAUUCUCAUUAACAUUCAAGAAAAUGAAGUUUAGCCUUUUACAAUUCCUUUAUCAAGUUUCAAUAUGAUUUAAGCAAUUAAAUUAACAAGUAGGGCGCAAACAUCGUAAGUAUAACAUGAUUUGGAUCCUAGACUACCCGAACAUAAGCAUAAUAGUAACUACGCAAGGACUCUCGUCACCUCGUGCGUACGUAGCCCCCACAGAUAGAACCACAUAUUAAAUAAACUUACCUAUGGGGUUAAUUCCCUCUUACAAGUUUCGAAAAGAGACUUACCUCGCUCCGAAAUUCCAUAACCGGCUCCAAAGCCUUUCCAACAACUCAAACCGAUGCCCAUUACUCCAAAACUAGUCAAUAAAUGUGCAAAUCCAUAAAUAUAUACUCUAAUACUCCUUAAAAUCUAUUUUACAACAAUUUCUAACUUCGCUCGAAAAGUCGAUAAAAAUCGCCCUCGGGCCCACGUGCCCGGAUUCCGAAAUUUUUUAGAGAUAGUCGUUACCCAUAACAAUACGAACUCAAAUAUAUACUAUAUUCUCAAUUUCAUGUUCAAUUUCGUGGUCAAAUUCCAAAAUUACCAAAUUCUAGGUUUUCUAUCAAAAAUCCCACUUCUACAAAUUUUCAUGCUUAAAUCCGUAUAAAAACCAUGUAUUUAACUUAAAAUAGGUGGGAAUAACUUACCUUGACAUAGAUGAUGAAAACCCCCCAAUUGAAGCUCUCCAAAAAUCGCCCAACCAAGAGAGAAUUGAAGAAAAUGGGCCAAAUCCCCGUUUUAAAGAAACCUCACUGCCCAGCACAAAUUCCAUUUUUGCGAUGCGAAGGUCGCUUCUGUGACAGCCGCUUAUGUGGCUCCAAGUCUCGCACCUGCAAGAAACCAAGCCAAGAUUGCUGGCCGCUUCUACGGCCCUCAUGCGCAUCUGCGCCCACGCUUCUGCGGCUCUUCGUGCGCAGGUGCGGUCCCGCUUCUGCGAAACUUGACUGCAUCUGCGGUCCCAACCUUCCCCAGCCAAUUCUGCUUCUGCGCCCCUUCUUGGCCUCUUCUGCGGCUCCGCACCUGCGGCCAAAACCUCACAGGUGCGGUUACACCAGAUACCAGCUGCCUCAUCAUUCCUUUAGUCCAAAAGUUGAUCCGUUAACCAUCCGGAAUCCACCCGAGGCCCUCGGGACCUCAACCAAAUAUACCAACACAUCCCAAAACAUGACACGAACUUGCUCGAGGCCUCAAAUCACAUCAAACAAUGCCAAAACCAUGAAUCUCAUCCCAAUUCAAGCUUAAUGAACUUUAGAACUUCAAAAUUCUACAUUCGAUGUCGAAACCUAUCAAAUCAUGUUCGAUUGUCCUCAAAUUUAGCACACAAGUCAUAAUUGACAUUACAGAGCUGCUCCAACUUCCAGAAUUGGAAUUCCACCCCGAUAUAAAAAAUUCCACUCCCGGUCAAACUUUUCCAAAAACCUUUAAAUUCACAACUUUCGCCAAAUGACUCCAAAAUGACCUACGGACCUCCAAAUCCACUUCGGAACAUGCUCCUAAGGCCAGAAUCAUCAUACAGAGCUAUUCCCAGACUCUUAAUCCCAAACAAACAUCGAUAACAUUGAAAUGCACUUCGACCCAAAUUUUUGAAAUUCUUCCAAAUGCCAUCUUUCCACAAUAGGCGCCGAAACGCUAUCGGGUCAUCCAAAACCCGAUCCGGAUAUAUGCCCCAGUACAAAAUCAUCAUACAAACUUGUUGGGACCUUGAAAUCCCAAGUCUGAGAUCAUUUACUCCAAAAUAUACUCUUAGACAACUCCUCAAACUUAAAGCUUCUGAAAUUAGAAUUUUCUCUCCAAAUCAACUCCGAAUUUCCCGAAUUUUAAUUUUGACCAUACGCACAAGUCAUAAUACCUGAAGUGAAGCUACUCAUGGCCUCAAACUGCUGAAUGAUGUGCUAGAGCUCGAAAUGACCGAUUGGGUUGUUACAUAGGGUGUUCAGGCCAAACAUUGACUCGUUUGUCAUUAUCUUCAUUUAUGACAUUUUGAUCUACUCACGUAGCACAGAAGAGUAUAAGCAACAUUUGUGAGUGGUGCUUCAGACCUUGCGGGAACAUAAGCUAUAUGCUAAGUUCUCCAAGUGUGAGUUUUAUCUCGAUUCUGUAGCAUUCUUGGGGCAUGUUGUAUCAGGCGAGGGUAUUAAGGUGGAUCCCAAGAAGAUUGAGGCAGUUCACAGUUUGCCUCGUCCUACUACGGCAACUGAGAUUAGGAGCUUCUUGGGAUUAGCAGGUUAUUAUCGCCGAUUUGUGGAGGGUUUCUCAUCUAUUGCAGCACCUUUGACUAGAUUGACCCAGAAGGGUGAUCCGUUCCAUUGGUCUGAUGAUUGUGAGACGCGCUUCCAGAAGCUCAAGACAGCUUUGACUACAACACUAGUUCUAGUGUAACCUUCUAGCUCGGGGAUGUAUACUGUGUAUUGCGAUGCUUCACAUGUUAGUUUGUGUUAUGUAUUGAUGAAGGAAGGGUGAGUUAUUGCAUAUGCUUUACGUCAGCUGAAGCCCCAUAAGAAGAAUUAUCGUGUGCAUGAUUUGGAGUUGGCCGCGAUUAUUCAUGCUCUUAAGAUCUGGAGGCAUUAUCUUUAUGGGGUGUCCUGUGAGGUUUACAUUGAUCAUCACAGCUUGCAACAUUUGUUCAAACAAAGGGAUCUCAAUUUUAGGCAGUGCAGAUGGCUUGAGUUACUGAAUGAUUAUGACAUCAACAUUCUUUAUCAUCCGGGCAAGGCGAAUGUAGUCGUGGAUGCCUUGAGCAGAAAGGCAGAGAGUAUUGGUAGCUUGGCCUUCAUUUCAGCAGAGGCGUGGCCACUAGCUUUGGACAUUCAGUCCUUGGCUAACAGACUUGUGAGGUUGGAUAUUUUAGAGACCAACCAAGUUCUUGCAUGCGCCGUUGCCUAGUCUUCACUAUUUAAGCAGAUCAAGGCUCGACAGGUUGAUGAUCCACACUUGUUGGUCCUCAGAGAGAUGGUACAAUAUGGUGGUUGCAAAGAGGUUACUCAUCGGUGAGGAUGGUGUUCUGCGACUCCAGGGUUGUCUAUGUGUUCCUAAUGUUGAUGGCUUGAGGGAGAGGAUUUUAGAGGAAGCACAUAGUUCUCGAUAUUCCAUUCACCCAGGUGCUAUGAAGAUGUAUCGUACCUUGAGGCAACAUUAUUGGUGGCGGCAGAUGAAGAAAGACAUAAUUGAGUAUGUAGCUAGGUGCCUAAAUUACUAGCAGGUUAAGUAUGAGCACCAGAGGCCAGGUGGCCUACUCCAGCAGAUGACUAUACAUGAGUGGAAGUGGGAGCGCAUUACUAUGGAUUUCGUAGUUGGGUUGCUGUGGACCUUACGGAAGUUCGAUGUAGGUUGGGUCAUUAUUGAUAGAUUGACCAAUUUGGCACACUUCAUUCCGGUUGUGACUACGUAUACUUAAGAGAGGUUGGCCCAGAUUUAUAUUCAGGAGAUAGUUCGGUUGCACGGUGUGCCAAUUUUCAUCAUAUCAGAUAGAGGCUCUCAGUUUACUUCACAUUUUUGGAGAGCAGCACAAAGUGAAUUGGGGAACCGUGUAGAGCUCAGCACAGCCUUUCAUCCACAGACCGACGGGCAGUCGGAGCGGACAGUUCAGAUUUUGGAGGAUAUGCUCUUGGCAUGUGUGAUUGACUUCGGAGGUCAGUGGGAUCGUUUCUUGCCUUUGGUCGAGUUUGCUUAUAACAACAGUUAUCAGUCCAACAUUGAGAUGGCUCCAUUUGAGGCUUUGUAUGGUCUGCGAUAUUGUUCGCCCAUUGGAUGGUUUGCGCCCGGUGAGGCUAAGUUAUAUGGUACUGAUUUGGUGAAGGAUGCCUUAGAAAAGGUAAAGUUGAUUAAGGAGCGACUUCGUACAGCACAGUCCAGACAGAAGAGUUACGCAGAUCUGAAUGCGCGUGAUUUAUCAUUUAUGGUGGGUGAGAAAGUUCUCUUGAAGGUUUCACCAAUGAAGGGAAUCAUGAGAUUCGGGAAGAAGGGCAAGUUAAGCCCAAGGUUUAUAGGCCCAUUUGAGGUGUUGAGACGAGUUGGGGAGGUUGCUUGCAAGCUUGCCUUGCCUCCCAGUCUAUCGGGAGUUCAUCUGGUUUUCCACGUGUCUAUGCUCCGAAGGUAUCAUGCUGACUUGUCACAUGUUUUAGACUUCAGCACAGUUCAGCUAGAUAAGAGCUUGGGUUAUGAAGAGGAACCAGUUGCCAUUGCUGAUAGACAGGUUCGCCAGUUGAGGUCCAAGAAGAUUUCUGCUGUAAAAGUCUAGUGGAGGGGCCGAACAGUCGGAGAAGCGACUUGUGAGGCCGAGGAAGACAUGCGGAGCAGAUAUCUACACUUAUUCAGCAUUCCAGGUAUGAUUCUAGACCCGUUCGAGGAUGAACGUUUGUUUAAGAAGUGGAGAAUGUAACAACCCGACAGGUUGUUUUGCUUUUUAGAACCCCGUUCCCCUAAAUAAGACUCCCCAAAUCUGCUUUUACUCUUUUAUGACUUACGGGGAUGGUUUGUUCGAGCUUUGGAAGGGUUAGGGAUGAAAUCAGAACACUUGGUUCCUUAGGUUGGCCUUAAAAGGCUAAGUUUGACUUCGGUCAACAUUUUGAGUAAAUGACCUCAGAAUUGGAAUUUGACUGUUUCAAUAGGUUUGUAUGAUGUUUUUGGACUUGGGCGUAUGCUCGAGUCGGGUUUUGGAUGACCCGGGAGCGUUUCGGCGCCUAAUAGUGAAAGUUGGUUCUUUGAAGGUUGUUGAAGUUCUUUAAAUUUGGUUUGGAGUAGGUUUGGGGAUAUUGAGGUCCAAAUGGAAUUCUGAGACUGGGAAUAGUUCCGUAAUGUCAUUUAAGACUUGCACGCAAAAAUUGGCGUCAUUCCGAGUUGAUUUGAUAGGAAUUGGACGCGCGGAAGUAUAUUUAGAAGUUCUUGAGUUCAUGAGUUAAUCCAUGUGUUUUGGCAUCUGAUUCGUGGUUUUGGAUGUUAUUUCAGUGUUUUGAUCACUCGAGCGAGUUUGUAUGAUAUUUUUAGACUUGUGUGGGUGUUUGGUGUGGAGCCACGAGCGCUCGGGUGAGUUUCAGACGUUCGGGAGGAUGAGAAAAACUUUAGUUUUCUGGUGUUUCUUGGCAGCUGUUGCAGGUCUCGCAAAUGCGAGAAUUUGUUUGCAUUUGCGAACCUCGCAUUUGCGAGGAAGGAUUCGCAAUUGCGAAGAAGCCUGAGCUGGGCAGUGUUCGCAUUUGUGACACUUUGGUCGCAUUUGCGACCUUGCAGUGGGAGCCCAGGUUCGCAUUAGCGAUGAGUUUGUCGCAUUUGCGACCCUCGCAUUUGCGAACCAGGUGUCACAAAUGCGACAUCUGCGACCUGUACACAGCCUUAUUAAAUGCGAGACAUAGGCCAUUUAGCUCAGUUUCUUUCAUCUCUUGGGCGAUUUUUGGAAGGGGGUUUUCACCUAGCACUUUGAGGUAAGUAAUUUCUAUACAACAUGAGUUAAAUACAUAGCUUAUGGGUAGAUUAUAACAUGUAAAUUAGUGAAAAUUAUGGGUUUAUGUGAAAACCUAGGUUUUUGAUAAAAAUUAGAUUUUAGUAUGAAAUUUGUUAUGGAAUUUAGUAAAAAUAAAAUAUUUGAGUUCUUGAGGUUAUGGAUAACAAUUUUCUUCGAAACUUUCCGAUAUCCGGGGACGUGGGCCCGGGGGUGAAUUUUAGGAAUCCUGUAUUCGGCGUUGGGUAAUCCCUUUAAUAGUUGGAAUAUGAACUUUUGAACAAGUAUUAAUUUAUUUUUAAUCCAUUUGACUAGUUUUGGAUUGUUCAGCACCGAAUUAAGGGUUUGAGCACAAUCUUGGACCGAAAAUUAGGUUUUGAGACGAGGUAAGUCUCUUUUCUAACCUUGUAAUAGGGAAUUAACCCCAUAGGUGAAUUUAAUUAAUAUGUCCUUAUAAUUGUGGGGUUACAUACGCACGAGGUGACGAGAGUCCAUACGUAGCUACUAAUUCUGCUUAUGUCCGGGUAAGUUUUAGGGUUACACCAUGCUUUGUUGACAUCGCUAUUUGAUUAUGCUUACUAAUUGCCUUGGAUAGAGCUGAGAUUGAGGAUCUCAAUGGCUUUUAAAGUUUCUAGCAUAAUUUUCUUGUUUUGGAAAGAAUUGAGGGAUAACUUGAGAAAUAUAUGUUCAACCGCAUCGCAAUUAUAUUUCGCGAGCGGGGUAAAUUUCCACUACACUCAUGGGAGCGGGCCGUUCGCCUCGGCAGGUUAAUAGAUGCAUUUAUGGUUCAUGCCGUUCAACCCUCGGCAGUGCAUAUAGUAUAUUUUUAUGCAUUUUGGAUCGGGCCGUACGUCCUCGGCAUAAUUCAUGCGAAAUGAUACUGGAAAUUUCAAUAUGAUUGAUAUUGCUUCAUUGGUUUGAAAGAUUAAAAAUAUAAAAGGGGAGAAAUUGAUUUGGUAAAUGCUAUCGGUGAAAGGAUUAUCUAUUUUUGAUUCUUGCUUCUGAGUUCUAAUGUCAUUUAUAUAUCCCAUGUUUAAUUAUUAGUUAUAUACAUAUAUUCUCUAUUGUUGACCCAUAGUAAGUGUCAAAGUCGACCCCUCGUCACUACUUCAUCGAGGUUAGACUAGAUACUAACUGGGUACAUGUUGUUUAUGUACUCACGCUACACUUCUGCACUUAAUGUGCAGGUUCUGAGGUAGGUGCUUUUGAAUAUCAGUCUGGCGCGCACACUUGAUUACUAUUAUGAGACUUUGCGGUGAGUUGUCUUUCGAGCCCGUUCUGUAGUAGCCGAAGUCUUCCUUUUUAUUUAUUUUUUGUCUAUUUUGUUUAAAACAGCAGUGUAGUAAUCUUUGUAUAUUCUACUAGUAGUUCAUACACUUGUGACACCAGGUCUUGAAAAUUUAUGUUAGUAGGCACUUGAUGGUUUUGGGUUAUUUAUCUUAUCUCACUCGUUUUAAAAAUUUUGAUCUCUUAUUUUUAUAAAAUUUUCAUUUCUUAUUUUGUGCAUAAAUUGAAAAUCAACUACUUUAAACCGUUAAAAGAAAGAUCGCGGAGUUAUCUUAAGGCUGGCUUGCCUAGCGGUAAAUGUUGGGUGUCAUCAUGGCCUAUAGGAGAAAUUGUAUCGUGACAGUCUCGCUGUAUCAUCAUAAUGUGAUACUGGGGCAAUUCCUGCGAUUGCUGCUUCGUCAAAAUCUUCAUUCCAGAACUACAUGUGGCCUGAUCCUCGUUAAGCCUGAGUUAUGUAAGCAAUUCAAAGCCAGAAUUCGUCCCCAAUAUUCCCAAAAUCUUCCGAGAUUCUUCCUUAACUCAAUCCUGCAAUUCACAAUCCUCAUUACUGCAAUACAUGCCUGAAGUCAGGAUAAAAUUGGCUUUGGUUCAAUUUCUUUAUCCGAAAACUCUUUCAUCGUCUCCGGUCAAAGAGGGCAGCUAUUGAUUGCCAAUUUUGACCCUCCCCUUUUAAAUUAAUUUAUUUAUACUUACUAAUUUACAAUAAAUAUUUUUAAAGUGUUUUCCAGUAACAAAUACAUAUUUUUACGAAUUAAUUAAGUAUUAGUUUUAAAAUUAAUCGUGUAGUAUUAACAUAAUGUAAUUACAAAUAUAUUCAAUAUUUUAAGAUUAAAAUAACCCUUAUAUAUACAUUACAUAUGUCUUAUAAUUAAUUUAAUGAAUUACUCUUUAAUAUCUAGUUAAUUAGAUUAUUAUGUGAAAUUUAAAAUUAGUGUUGCAAUUUAGAAAACAAAGUAUUUUUAUAAAUAAUUAAUUAAAUAAUUAGUAGUAUAUAUAUUAAUUAUAAUUUGACCAUAUUUUAUUGAAAAGUGUUAAGUUUAUUUAAAUUAAAUUCAAAAAGGGAUUAAAAGACAAAAGGGCUACAAUUGCAAUUCUUAAUCAAAUAUAAAAUGGUUAUUCUUCAAAUUAUUUUCAGCCCAAUUGCUAAGGCCCAAACGGAAGAAGUCAGUCCAAACACCCCAUCUCCAUUCCAAUGUGGCAAUCUAGGCCACUCUCUUUGCACCAAUCAACUCGUACCACCUCACCUCUCUGUAGCACUCACACAAGAAACACAAUGCAUCUGAGUCGUUGGUCCAUCUAAUCAACGACUCACGUUUAUUCUCCAAUUCUUCUUUUGAUGUUAAUACCCCCCCCCCCCCAAAGAUCUCAUCCUCAUCAGGGCCGUUGAUCAUCAUAUCCAACGGCCCAAGCUCUAUCUCUCGUCAUUUAACCUAGAGACAAACCUCCCAAAACCCUAAUAAUUUCUCUUUGACACAGCCGCCCUCAUUUCCUUUUCCUCUCUCUUUUCUCUCAUCCCUUCCAACCCAUCAGUCAUGAAAACCCUGCACAAAUCAGUGCAAGGUCACUAGACCUUCACCAAAUCGUCCUUCCCUGUUUCUCCAUCCCCAAAUCCAGCUAAUUUUCCCUUUUUUCUUUUCAAAUCUGAGAGAUUAGACGCGGCUAGUAAGGUUGAAACCACAUUCUUUUCGAUCUUUCAAAUUAGACUUAUAGAUUCGUCUUAUUUGUCCCUAGAUGAUGAAGCUAGUGAGUCUAGUUUCCAUUUUCGUUGAUUAAAUUCAAAAACCCCAAUUUGAAACCCUAGACCUAAAUGAUGAAACUUCAUUUCAUCUAUUUUCUCCACUCGUUCUUCCUAAUCGGAGCAUGCAUGUGCACAUUUCAGAGCUUUAUCAUGAAUAUUUUGUACCCAGAGGUCAAACGUAGUGACCUGUGGGUUUUGGGGCUUUGUCCAAUGUGUUUUCCUUCAACGGUCAAUUGCUUUCCACUCAGGUAAAAGUUUCAUUCAUUUUCCCUCUGUUUCUUUCUGAUUUCACUGAAUCUUACUGUCAUCAUCGAUAUUUCAUCAAUUCCCACUAUUAUUUUGAAUUUGUGAAACCCUAAGAGCCUUAAUAGUACUAUAAAAGGGGCCUUUAAUGUUCUCAUCUACCACGACCUAACACUGAAAAAAAACAACCUAACAACAUCUAAGAGCAAUUCCGAGAUCCCAAACCUAGGAUUUCUUACUGAUUUCUUUUUUCGUUUCUAAGUACUUUCGCUGCUCCGAGCUUGAAGCCUUGGGGUCUUAAGCAACUAAGAGAUAUUCCUGUUUGUUCUACUGCCCUCAAAAAGGUCAGUACAUUCCUAACUUCUCUCCUUUGAUCAUCUUAUUAGAAUGCUAUGAACAUGCUCAUUGUCUUCUAUUAAUUGUAGUUGUUUGUGAUGUUAUCAUUGAUAUACAAAAUGUUAUAUCUAUGUUCAUGAUAAGGUGCUAUUGACUAUAACAACUCUUAUAUCUGAAUCCUAAUAGUCUACAUGAUUAAUUUCCCUUAAUGUGCUUUAAAUGACUGCUCAUAUUUUUCUAAACUUCAUAGUUUUUCAGUGAUGAUUCUGUUGUGAUCUCUACCUCUACAUAUUGUUUCCUGCCUUCUGUUUGUCUUGUGGUUAAGUUUAUUAUUUGAUAGUCCUAACUAAGAUCACCUGAAAAGUUCAUAAGUUCAUAUCACCCACCAUUUAACAGAAGCAUGAAAAAAUCUAAGUGUUUAGAUGCUUUCCUUCUCUAUACCUAUAUCUGCCAACUUUGAGGGCAACUUCUGGACUGUCACUAUGGCAUUCUCAUGAUUAUACCUAACUGUUGAUUGCCUCUGUAUGAAGUAGCCUUGUUUGAGUUGAACUUUCUUCUUUUCAUGAAUACCAAUAGUUCUAUUUUUUAUAUAUAUAUAUAUAUAUAUAUAUUCUAUUAAGAUUAAGUUAUCCUUUUCUUCAUGAAAUAAGUCAUAAUCAUGUUUGUUAUAGUUAACUAGGUAAUUGCUAUUAAGCUGAACUUAGUUGUCUCAUAUUAGUUAAAACCUUCAGUUACAUGUUUAAGUCAAAACCUAUUUGGUGUAGUGCUUUUUCUGUUUUUAAUUUCUUUGAUGCUACUACUACUUUAUAAAGCUUAUAUUUAGUUGUCAAUAAGGUGUCUUCCAUAAGGUAGGACCUAGUUAUUCUUGUUAUAAUCAAGUGUUGAUUAUUAAACUAAGUGUGAUUGCUUUAUAUCUAGAUAUUAAUUUAAGCUAUACACAUAGGUUAAACUUGUUUUGGUAUAAUACUUCCCUUAUCUGUCACCCCUCUCCCUUCAUAACAUGUUUAACUUGAUUCUGUAACAUGUAAAGUUCCUCUAUCUGUAUAAGAUUACAACCUCGCUUGAAGUAUCUAUGUAUAAUUGACUGAAUGUUGUAGGUUCCCUUGUUUGGCUUCCAGAUCCCAUGCUUGUUUUGAACUGCACUCAGUUCUCUCGCUUCUACUAUUCUGAAAUUGAAUCUGAUUUUCAAUCUUGUUAGAAGUUUUCCACUGCUACUAUCUGAGCAUAAUGGCUUAUUUGAGAUUAAUACUAUUAUUAAUAUAAUCAUGUUGACCCCUAUAGGGAUUCCAUGACCAAAUCUAUGAACCUGUAGUCGUAUUGAGAGUUUUGAUCAUGUUUCUGAUAUAUUUUGGUAACUUCUAUAAAAGUUUCUAGUUGUGACUAUUUGCCUGAACCUUUAUUAAUACCUCUUAAAAUUCCAAGUAGUGUUACUAAUCCAUGCAUGUGCUAGUAGAAAACUAAUCAGUUCAUAGUUUGUUUGCCAAGGCAGGAGCAUUUGUAUUUCUUGUGUUGCUACAUAUAUGAACUCUGUAUAGCUUACCUUCCCCUUGAAUGUGUUUUUUCCCUAAUGCUUAGACCUUUAACAGUAUGUUAUGAUGUUUCUGCUUCUCUCCUAUAUGUGCUCGAAGUCUGACUUUUAGGUUUUCCUGAUAUGUGUAUUAUUCAUUUGGUAUCAAAUAUAGUCUUUGUGCCUUUAUGUUAUUCUGUUAGAAGGGAGAGUGUACUUUUGUGGUAAGUGAUACUAUAGAAUUUAGUUUACAUUGAAAGGGCCUCAUUGGAAUUUAAACACAUAAGAAAAAAUAUGUUGUUAGUGGUUAGGGGUAUUUGGGAGUGGAUUUUAACUCUAAGUGGGGCUGCUUUCCCCGGCACAAACAUUGCCAUGGGCCUCGAGUCCCUUGGAAACUUUGAAGCAUCUGAGGAUUCAAAGGGGGCAUCGACCUUGAGUAGAACUCCCUCCUUAGCCUUUAAUUCAUUGACACUUUUGGUUCUUUAAGGGUUUAGUGUUUAAUGACAAUGAAAGAUUUUCAAUGUAAAUUAUUUUUCAUGUAUGACCACCAUAUUAGUAUAAUUUCUCAUAGCGUUAGACUAUUGAUAAUUUUAAUAUAUUUGGUUCCAGUCGUCUGUUUAUAUAUAGUUCAUACACGGUUGAAUAUGCUGAAAAUAUGGAGCAUGUAUCUAAUGAUUUUCUCUUUUCUUUUGGACAUGUACAUUAUUUGGGCCUGCUAAGUUCCUAUGAAACUCAUGCCCAAUCCCAGCCUUGUUGCACUUUUCUAGAGAGUCCAAAAUCAGCUGUAGCCGUAUCUCAUUACUGCUGGGCCUGCCUUCUUGAGGCCCAAUUACUAGAGUACAGUCCUCUUUCCCUCAAUUCCUUUGUUAUUAUAUAUUGCUUCCUUAAUCUAGUUUACUGCUUCAUUACCUUUUAUCUACUUCCUUGUUGCUUUGUCGCAUCUUUGUUGUCAUGUAUACAACACUCACAUAUUAGAUUACAUACUUUAUUUUCAUGCUUUAACAUCAUAUAAAACAUAGGCAAGCUUUAAAUAAUGUAGGAUUUAAAAGAAAUUAGUUAGUAAUUAAUCCUCACUUCGCUAAUUAUAAUUCACUCAUAUCAUUACUAUGUUCUCGCUCACUUUUUCUUUUCUUAAAAGAUUUUGAAGCGCAGAACUUAGUAAAAAUAGCGGCCCAUUUUCAAAAGAAAAUCAGAAUUGAAUCGCAAGCUUUACUAUCGUAAGGCAAAUCGGAAUUUUCAUAAAAGGUGAAGUACUGUCACCCCAAAAGGAUUUUCAAAAGACCGCUUUUCCUUAACGUUUUAAAAGCCAAACUAUAUCUUAGGCUCACUUUUCAAACACCUUUUAGAAUAACAUGAACACCUAUUCCCUAAAUCAGAUGUUUUCAUAACUUAACUUCUUUUCACAAGAUUUAUAAAAUAUAGAACAUUUACAUACAUAUUUCAAAACUUUUUCAACUAUAUCCACCAACAUAGACUCCUUUAUAAAUUCACAACCUUUUAAGGGUCUCAUGUUCCUUUUAUUAAUAUCAUGCUUUUCCUUAGAUAUACAGUAAGACGUGCUCUUUAAUAGUAAUUAAGCAUAGUACAAAUAAUUGAUCCCUUAAAAUUAGUCUAAGUCCCAUGGAGCUACCUCAGACAGAUUUUAAGGGGUGCCUAACACCUUCCCCUUAGAAGAACAAGAACCCUUACCAUAAUCUCACCGGUUAGCAGACCAAUAAUAAAUAUGACUUAUUAAUUAAAUAAGUACCCUAGUAUACCUUUAAAUAUUAGGUGACAACUCUCUUUUAUCAACAACAAAGAAACUACAAGUUGAAUCUUAUUUUGUGUAGUGCAAAAUAGGGUGCAACAUCGGGGACAUUGCGGUUAAUUUCCAUCUAAAGGUGAAAGUUUUGGUAAGUGUUUUCUCCAGAUCUUUAGCGUAUUAUCUGGAUUGGUUCGUCGUUCCACAAAAGACAUGUCGUUGGGUGCAUGACCUGUUGACAUUACAUUGGAUUUCCUAAUUAUGAGUCAAUACUAAGGACUGACACACCUAAGGUUUAUGCAGUAUGACCUAUGUUUGCUAAGAGUAGAGUGUUACCGAAUGUUGGAUUUGGACUGAAUAACUGCGAGACAUUAUGUCAAUUGGCCUGACAAAGUCGUUCUAUGAAGCUAGAGUGUUUUGAAAGAAGGUUCGGAGGGGUGUAAAAGAUAACCCUAGCAUGUCAUUCGUGUGUGAUUAUGUACGGCCAUUACUCGAGAGGAAAGAUGUGAUGAUAGUGUAUAAAGCGGUAACAAAUAAUUGUGGCAAAGUAGCAAUAAACAAGUAAGCAUGUUAAAAAGCAUAAGCAAGUGGAAUAAAGCGGGUAAGCAUGUAUUUUCAAGUUAAGCAUAAUUAAAGUAGAAUAUAACAAACAUUCCCAAAUUUCAAGUCUAGCCUAAAUCUGCUAAGUUCAGAACCUAAGUGUAAGAAUCCCCAAAUGAGUUGCCAUGUUGUUGUACCCUGUUUUUCACUCAUCAAUACAAAAUAUAACUAAUGAUUCUUCUGAAGUUGAUAAAGAGAGUCGCCACCUAAUAUUUUAAGGUAUACUAGGGAACCUAUGGGUUUAUAAAAUUAUUAUCCUAAUGGUCUGCUAACCGGUGAGAUUUGGGUAAGGGUUCUAGUUAUUCUAAAAGGUGUUAGGCACACCUCAAAAUCUACCUGAGGUAGCUCCUUAGGAUUACGCUAGGUUUGAGGAAAGAAGUGUCCAUAUUCGUCUUAAUCAGAUGCUUAAAGUCUAUAAAAAUGUAUGCUUAUAUGUUGAAAACUAGAUAUGUUUUUAAAUAAUCUUGUAAAGAACUCUUUGUUUGAAAGGAAGUUGAGGGUGCGCUUUACAAAGAUAAUUAUCUAUUUAAAGCUUAGUAGAGUGAGGGACUAUUUGAAAAUAUACCUUGAGUUAGAAUAGGUACUCCUUACUUGAAAAUCAAUUGUACUGAGAAAGUCUUGUGUUUUUGAAACUCAUUGACAUACACCAGUUUAUAAAUGCCGGCUAUGUUUGUUUUUUUAUUUUGUGAUGCAGCUUUACAAUUAUUCUUUUUGCAAUUCUGAUUUUCAAAGAGAUUUCGGGUUGCUUUUGAAAUCUGUCAAAGUCCAAACUUAUUGAAAAUUAUUAAUGAUAACAAGAUAAAGCCUUUCAUUAUCAAAGAGAUAACUUUGGGAAUUAAUUAGUGAUUCAACAUUAUCAGACCUAAAGUGAGCAGAAUUUCUAACUUGAUUUUACCUAUGGGCCUUGGUUUGCCUACUUCCCUAAAGAAGAUCAAAUUAUCAAAGAUAUCCAAUAAUGUAGUUAGUCAUUCUGGGACAGAGAUAUAUAUAUAUAUAUAUANNNNNNNNNNNNNNNNNNNNNNNNNNNNNNNNNNNNNNNNNNNNNNNNNNNNNNNNNNNNNNNNNNNNNNNNNNNNNNNNNNNNNNNNNNNNNNNNNNNNNNNNNNNNNNNNNNNNNNNNNNNNNNNNNNNNNNNNNNNNNNNNNNNNNNNNNNNNNNNNNNNNNNNNNNNNNNNNNNNNNNNNNNNNNNNNNNNNNNNNNNNNNNNNNNNNNNNNNNNNNNNNNNNNNNNNNNNNNNNNNNNNNNNNNNNNNNNNNNNNNNNNNNNNNNNNNNNNNNNNNNNNNNNNNNNNNNNNNNNNNNNNNNNNNNNNNNNNNNNNNNNNNNNNNNNNNNNNNNNNNNNNNNNNNNNNNNNNNNNNNNNNNNNNNNNNNNNNNNNNNNNNNNNNNNNNNNNNNNNNNNNNNNNNNNNNNNNNNNNNNNNNNNNNNNNNNNNNNNNNNNNNNNNNNNNNNNNNNNNNNNNNNNNNNNNNNNNNNNNNNNNNNNNNNNNNNNNNNNNNNNNNNNNNNNNNNNNNNNNNNNNNNNNNNNNNNNNNNNNNNNNNNNNNNNNNNNNNNNNNNNNNNNNNNNNNNNNNNNNNNNNNNNNNNNNNNNNNNNNNNNNNNNNNNNNNNNNNNNNNNNNNNNNNNNNNNNNNNNNAUAUAUAUAUAUAUAUAUAUAUAUAUAUAUAUAUAUAUAUAUAUAUAUAACAAACAACAUGAACAGAGUUAAAAAUAAAAUGAGGGGACAGAGGGUCAGACUCUUGGCGGUUUGGGCUUGGUAAAACUUAACCAGGCCCAGCAGCACUUGGGCUAAGCGACAGACUCCUAUGCGUGACAGGGAAGCGGGCUGGACUGGACUAGACUUUGGGCCUGAGUUCCCAAUGGAACUCAGUAGGCCCAAGUCAAAACAUGCACCAAAAAAAGGAUCAUUAGUGUAUAUCAAAUGAAAUAAGAUAGAGAUGAAGUCAAAUAAUAAAAAAGGACUAAAGAAUGCAAUGGGACAUAUUUCAUUUAUGUUAAUCCUAUGAGUAUUAAUAGGAAAUAAUAAUUAAAGGAUUCGUAUAAAUCCUCAUUUAUGGAUAUUAUUCUCCUUUGAGCCCUUGGCACUUUAGAGUUCACGAGGGUCUCACGGACCCUGAGCAGUGCUUGUGUCAAGGAGAGGGAUCAUAACCACAACAAGUUUUCACAUCCAAAUACCAUUAAUCACCUACUUCUAAUCUUACUCAAAUGCUUAAACACAAAUGAAUGAAAUAAAAGAGUAACUCAUACUACUAAGAUACAAAUCGUAGGUACAAGAGUCCUAGUGAGCAUUUUACAAAUUCAAACACACACAAAAUUCGACAACUGUGGAAAAAUAAGGCACUGCAGUUCAUCAUCAAAGCACAAUAGUAGCUAAAGGCACAGUAUUGACUGAACGGGGAUUCAAAUCAAAGUAUAGGAUAAAGGGUAGGCAUGAGAUCACUGUUGUGACACAAUAUCACAAAGUGCAGGUAGUAGGCAUGCUUCACUACUCAUGUUUCUUAGGCUUAGAAAUGUUAAUAGGCAAGUACUAAACAGAGAGGAGUUCAGGUACAUGUUCUGUUGGUUUCACUAUAGGGUUGAUGCUCAAAGUUCUCUUAGGCAAGUUCAGAUUAUAAGAAUAUGUGUCAAAUACUUCUAAGUCUAAGAGCAGGCAUACAUCUCACUAAGACCUAAUCACCUUAAUAGUUAAACUGGAAAAUCAUAAUAUAUUAACACACAGAUGUGCAAACAGAUUCACUUAGUACAUGAGUUAAUGUACAGGUCAUAAUAAUAGCAUGGCAUAGCUUAACAAUUAAAAAUAUUUAAACAAGGACAGAUCAUUAGGGUCAGUCUCUUAUAGGAUCACUUACUCAAACCAUUUCCUUACCACAGAAAGAUUUGGACUAUUAUAGGUGAACACAGAGAUGUAAGGAUAGGCUUCUUCAAGCUGCUGUCAUGAAAUACCCUAUGGGCACAACAGUACUAAUACAACAGAUGUGAACUCAGGUGUAGAAACUAAGGAGAGUCAUGAUAGCAAAGAUUUUCAUAUAGCAGGGUUCAAGUAAUCAGGAAAUGGUAUUCAUUCAAGAGAUUGAUCACAUUCAAAUCUUCUAACACAUUGAUAGAGUUCCUUAUAUGAUCUCUUUUGUUUCCAAUUAUCAUAAGAAGCAUACAGAAAUCAUUCCAUUAAUAUAAUAUGAACAGAGUACUAACUAAGUCAAGACAAGUCAUCACUAACACAAUCAUGUUCCUAGAACUAAGGCAAAAAUAGCACAACACAAACAUUAAGGUGGCUUGGUGUUAACAAGUUAACAUUGUUCCCAAGAGAAGCGUAACGGUCUGAUUUUAGAACUAGUUGCUUAACUAACAUAUUAUAUACAAUAUUGUUAACAUAGUAUUUAACAAAGACUUAACAGAGUCUAAGAAUAACAGCUAUACACAGAUUACUGGGUAUGUAGAAUAAGCAGUUUAUCACUCUCACACUUAUCAACAAAGACUUAAUAAAGUAGACAGGUUGAAUACAUGACAUGAAGUACAGAGAAUAUAUCUAUAAGAUUAACAUAAUGUCACAAGUUGGAGGGUCGAAUAACCUAGAGGUACAGAAGCACAAAGAGAGGUUCAGGAGCAUGAUUCAACUAGCCUAGCAAACAUGACUGUACUCAGGCUAUUCUUUUGAUUCACAUAAUAUCAUUAACAUAAGGUUUAGCCAUGAGAGAAUAUUAACACAAAACACUUCCAACUAACUAAGUCAUGAUAGAUAGAGUUUAUUAACAACAUCAAAACAACAUAGCUUAUCUAGAAAGUCUGCAACUUAAUAGUGAGGAAAGAAUACAAGAUAAGGCAUAACAAGUAUAAUAUAUGUCACAAACAACUGAUUACUAACAAAGAAAACAUCACAAACACAAGCCUACAUAAUUAAAGUGAGAUAAAGGGGAUCAGUGUGCACUGACCUUAUGCGGGGCCGCAAACCAAGAAAAAGUGAUUCAAUAGCUGUUUAAGAGACCCCAAUUCAAAACCAGUGCCACAUUGAACUCGAACUGGAGAAGAUAAAGAAAAACAGAAAGUUUAGUGAGUACUUAGUGAGAAACUUUGAACAUUAACAUUUUUAUUUCUUUCUUUUUGUGUUUCGGAGAGAGUUAGAUGUGUUGUUAGGUGAAGACAUUGAAUGUCCCUUUUAUAGUGGCAUUCAAGCCACUUAGGGUCAUCCGAAAUAUUCAAAAUCGAUGGUGGAAAGUGACGAUUGCAUGGAUGAUGAUAGCAAUAGAGGUGAAAUCAGUGAAGAAUAGAGGUGAAAACAUCAUAGAAAUUACCUGGGCAUGAGGGUCGACCAUUGAAGCCUUUGGACUACCGGUCAAACCCUAAUAUCCAGAGGUUACUGCAUUUGACCUAUGGAUAAAGAAUAACAAUGAAGAAAUUGGAGAUAAACAACCAUGCAUGCCAUGGAUUUGAAAGAUCGAAGGAAGAACAAGCGAUUUUCAGUAGCAUCUUUUAGGUCAGGGGUUCAAUUUGGGGAACUUGAAAUUUAUUGAUGAAAAUGGAAGUAUCGGUAGGAUUUGCGGAUGUAUGGGACAUAUUGAGUGAUUUGGAGUUUGAAUUUGUGACCUUGCACAAAUUUGUACAAUAAUUUGUGACUGACGAGGUCAGAUGGGAUAAGAGAAAAGAAAGAGAAUUGAGAAAGAGAGGCGGUUGGGUAUGGUUGAGAAUGAAUGAGGGUUUAGGG